UACAGAGGUCCCAAGCGUUGUUCGGAUUCACUGGGCGUAAAGGGUGCGUAGGUGGUGAGGUAAGUCGGAUGUGAAAUCUCCAAGCUCAACUUGGAAACUGCAUUGGAAACUACCUUGCUUGAGGGUUUGAGGGGGGAUUGGAAUACUUGGUGUAGCAGUGAAAUGCGUAGAUAUCAAGUGGAACACCAGUGGCGAAGGCGAAUCCCUGGAAAAUACCUGACACUGAGGCACGAAAGCGUGGGUAGCAAACAGG
Molecule: ribosomal RNA, 253 nt
Filed under: uncultured bacterium
Lineage: Bacteria
Description: partial 16S ribosomal RNA
Rfam family: Bacterial small subunit ribosomal RNA
Source: RNAcentral